CUGCGGUGUCAGGGGCGCAGCAAGCCCAGGCUGCUUUCCUCUAAAAAAUUGGUAAUUUUCCCCAUUCGCAAUGCUUUGAAUUUUAGAUGCUCCUUCUCGGACUGACCCGGUGGCGACUAACGCAGGACGUGGCAGCAGACUUUCUCACCAGUUGCUCUGCCACGAGCGUCAGGUAGGGCGAGUACUGCUCGCUCGUGAUUUCAGACGUUUAACUUCUGGGUGUGAUUUUACGGCUGGAAUGGCUUGAGAUGAAUCCAUCGAAGGCAGGGUGUCAGGAUUAGGUUGCUUGGUCAGCGUGAGGCAGCUGAGUUACCCGUAAGGAGAUAAAUCGGAAGUCGUGAUGAUGAACUGCCUUCGUUUCACGUGAUGCUUUGAAACAGAGCUGCAGUAGGCUGGUGUUACUGGUAAACUCCACGAACCAGUAAUUAAAACCUAUCAGAAGGGGACAGGGUGGGCUUUAGCGGAGGGGUGCUUUGCAAGGAGUCAUUUAAAAGCUGCUAAAACCUCACAACUCUCAGCUAAAACCUCACAACUCGCUUUGCCAUAGAGCCGCGGCACAGGACAGGUGGGCGUACGUUCCCGCUGCCUUUUUGCGCUUUUAAACGCACCCUUUGGGAGCUGUCUCCUUGUUCUUGCGCUCGGGGGGCCGCGGUUCCUUCUUAAACUCAUUUGACCCCAGCUCAGCAGCGGACACCCAGCUCAGGGUGGAAACGCCGAGCGGUGCCGGGAGCGAGGGAGCAGGAGUCGUGGUGCCGGGGCAACGCCGGCCUGCGCUCGCGUGCUGUAGGGGAAGGUAAGAGCUCUGCUUUGGGGGCUGGAAAGGGAAAGGAGCUGCUUGUGAAACACCACCAGCAGCUUCACGCGAGGCAGCUGGACGUUGUGCGCGCUGCGCAGCCGGGUUUCUGUCGACGGCAGUUCGGCUCAGUGUGGUCUCGAAUGUGCCUUAAAGCAAGCUCUGUAAAGUGAAGAAUUAAAAGGGAUCGGAAUCUGCUUUAGUGUUGCUUUUUCCCUUGUGCAGACACAAAGUAUUCAGCGGCUGAAAAUGUGGGCAGGGAAUGUCAGGAAUCCUCAGUUUCCUCCCCAGUUGUAGCAGGCGCUUCGGGCUCCUGCCUCGAGUUUUCCCCGCAGAAAGUUGGUUCCCCGUUUCGCAACACGGUGGUUGCUUCAGAAGAGCAAAAACAUUUGGUGCUGCACUGAUCGAGUGUUUCCCUCCCCCCGUUGUAACAGCUUGAACCGAUCGUUUUCCAAAACCGUUUUACUUUACCCAGAUGUGUUUUAGGGCUUUCAGCCAGCGCGGCGUUUGUACCUGUGCAGCGCAUCGCAGGAGGUGAGGGUGAUCCGGGAGCUCGUGGAAGGUGGGUUUGAGUACUGAACUGGUGGGCAAGCUGCGGCUGGCGUGGAUCCUCAGCAGAGGCGGGGAUGGCAAGGCUCCGGUCUCUUUUAUCCAGACUUAUGCCACCGGGCGAGGUUGCCGCGGGUGCCUGGUCGCUGCGACCAGGCACGGCUCCGAACUCGGCUGCUGCGGGAGCUGCCAGGCACGGCGGGAGGCACGGCUGCUUCCCCAUCUCCGCGCCGAGCCGACUGUCCCCGAAAUAACGGGAUUGCCAGAGCUGGUCGGGUUGCUGGGGCUGGCAGGGCGGUUGCAGGCUGCUCUCCCUGCAGCAGGGACCCGCGGGGUUCGCUCCCCGCGCGGCGGCUUUCGGCGUGCUGGCCGACACCCCGCGCCUCGCAGGGGAGGGCAACGUGCAGAAACGGGAUCGGUGGGGGGAUUGAACGUUGUUGGUUUGGGAUUUGGGGUGUUACUCCGUGGCUAGAACAGCGCGCGGGUUUCCUGGCCGGAUCCUUCCUGCACAGCACGUCUCGAGGCGUUCGCUGUGCCGGCGCGGUCCUGGGGUUCAGGGUGCUCGCUGGCAUCUUACACGGUCACACCUGGGUGGGCUUGGAAAGGAGGAGGUUUGGAGGACUCUCGCCUUACAGGAGUUACCUAAAAACUUUGAUCAUCCGCCAGCUGCUGUGGUCCUGCUGCUAAGUGGCUUUUCUCUCCUGGCUCUGUUCUCCCUGCUCAAUAGGAUGGCAUCAUCUAGUGGUUACAUCAGGCCUCCGGGAUGCGGUGGCCUCGCUUCUGCUGUGCUCGCCCGGGCUCGCGCUGCAACGUAUGUGGUGUAUACGCACAGACGUCUGCGGGCGUGUUCCUCCCUUUUCUCGGUGCUGAAAUCAAUCUGAAUACAGCUGGGGCUGCAGCGGGGGAUGGCGGCGUGUGGCCACGCGUGGGGUUUUGUCGGUAGUUUGUCCUGAGACUUUUUGUUCCUCACUCCCGUGCGUUGUGUUUCCAAUCUGGUAAAGUUAAUGUUUUUGUAAGUUAAAACGGUUUGCAAAAAAAAACACUUCACAACUGCAAGGGCACUGUGGAAACCCAGCACUUCAGCUGAUGGUUUUUCUCUUUCUUACCGCCUUGGCGUUGUUCUUACUUAGGACACACUUGUUCCGAGUGAAGUUCGUUAGCAGAAAACUCGUUUGGUCCUCUCUGAGGGUCCCAUCGUGGUUUGAGCCCACGAAUAACGCAGUUUUGGCUCGGUCUUGGCUGCCGAGCUCAGCACAAACCUGCAGCAUUUUGACCCGUGGUGCCUCCAGAGCGAGCGGAGGGCUCUCUCUCCACUCCUCGUUCAGCCGUGGUAUCGUUACAACCCCGUCCCACUUCUGAGGUGAAGCUCGGUGCGUUUCGAGCCUGAUUUGAGCCGAUGGAAGCCGCCGUGGUCCCCGUGCAGCUGUGCCGAUGGUGCCCAUCUCGGCCGGGCGCAUCCGAGAGCUCGGCUCCGUCCCUCCUGCAGCCGCCGUCCUCCGAGCCGCGGCCGAGGGGAGCCCGUUGCUGUCCUGGCAAGAAAAA
This is a long non-coding RNA of Cygnus olor (mute swan), 2884 nucleotides long. RefSeq lists it as uncharacterized. The record is from RefSeq and is a predicted model, not a curated record. Lineage: Eukaryota; Metazoa; Chordata; Aves; Anseriformes; Anatidae. The transcript is spliced from 2 exons.